Molecule: ribosomal RNA, 2925 nt
Filed under: Escherichia coli
Lineage: Bacteria; Pseudomonadati; Pseudomonadota; Gammaproteobacteria; Enterobacterales; Enterobacteriaceae
Description: 23S ribosomal RNA
Rfam family: Bacterial large subunit ribosomal RNA
Source: RNAcentral
GGGUUGUGAGGUUAAGCGACUAAGCGUACACGGUGGAUGCCCUGGCAGUCAGAGGCGAUGAAGGACGUGCUAAUCUGCGAUAAGCGUCGGUGAGGUGAUAUGAACCGUUAUAACCGGCGAUUUCCGAAUGGGGAAACCCAGUGUGUUUCGACACACUAUCAUUAACUGAAUCCAUAGGUUAAUGAGGCGAACCGGGGGAACUGAAACAUCUAAGUACCCCGAGGAAAAGAAAUCAACCGAGAUUCCCCCAGUAGCGGCGAGCGAACGGGGAGGAGCCCAGAGCCUGAAUCAGUGUGUGUGUUAGUGGAAGCGUCUGGAAAGGCGUGCGAUACAGGGUGACAGCCCCGUACACAAAAAUGCACAUAUUGUGAGCUCGAUGAGUAGGGCGGGACACGUGGUAUCCUGUCUGAAUAUGGGGGGACCAUCCUCCAAGGCUAAAUACUCCUGACUGACCGAUAGUGAACCAGUACCGUGAGGGAAAGGCGAAAAGAACCCCGGCGAGGGGAGUGAAAAAGAACCUGAAACCGUGUACGUACAAGCAGUGGGAGCCUCUUAAUGGGGUGACUGCGUACCUUUUGUAUAAUGGGUCAGCGACUUAUAUUCUGUAGCAAGGUUAACCGAAUAGGGGAGCCGAAGGGAAACCGAGUCUUAACUGGGCGUUAAGUUGCAGGGUAUAGACCCGAAACCCGGUGAUCUAGCCAUGGGCAGGUUGAAGGUUGGGUAACACUAACUGGAGGACCGAACCGACUAAUGUUGAAAAAUUAGCGGAUGACUUGUGGCUGGGGGUGAAAGGCCAAUCAAACCGGGAGAUAGCUGGUUCUCCCCGAAAGCUAUUUAGGUAGCGCCUCGUGAAUUCAUCUCCGGGGGUAGAGCACUGUUUCGGCAAGGGGGUCAUCCCGACUUACCAACCCGAUGCAAACUGCGAAUACCGGAGAAUGUUAUCACGGGAGACACACGGCGGGUGCUAACGUCCGUCGUGAAGAGGGAAACAACCCAGACCGCCAGCUAAGGUCCCAAAGUCAUGGUUAAGUGGGAAACGAUGUGGGAAGGCCCAGACAGCCAGGAUGUUGGCUUAGAAGCAGCCAUCAUUUAAAGAAAGCGUAAUAGCUCACUGGUCGAGUCGGCCUGCGCGGAAGAUGUAACGGGGCUAAACCAUGCACCGAAGCUGCGGCAGCGACACUAUGUGUUGUUGGGUAGGGGAGCGUUCUGUAAGCCUGUGAAGGUGGCCUGUGAGGGUUGCUGGAGGUAUCAGAAGUGCGAAUGCUGACAUAAGUAACGAUAAAGCGGGUGAAAAGCCCGCUCGCCGGAAGACCAAGGGUUCCUGUCCAACGUUAAUCGGGGCAGGGUGAGUCGACCCCUAAGGCGAGGCCGAAAGGCGUAGUCGAUGGGAAACAGGUUAAUAUUCCUGUACUUGGUGUUACUGCGAAGAGGGGACGGAGAAGGCUAUGUUGGCCGGGCGACGGUUGUCCCGGUUUAAGCGUGUAGGCUGAUUUUCCAGGCAAAUCCGGAAAAUCAAGGCUGAGGCGUGAUGACGAGGCACUACGGUGCUGAAGCAACAAAUGCCCUGCUUCCAGGAAAAGCCUCUAAGCAUCAGGUAACAUCAAAUCGUACCCCAAACCGACACAGGUGGUCAGGUAGAGAAUACCAAGGCGCUUGAGAGAACUCGGGUGAAGGAACUAGGCAAAAUGGUGCCGUAACUUCGGGAGAAGGCACGCUGAUAUGUAGGUGAAGCGACUUGCUCGUGGAGCUGAAAUCAGUCGAAGAUACCAGCUGGCUGCAACUGUUUAUUAAAAACACAGCACUGUGCAAACACGAAAGUGGACGUAUACGGUGUGACGCCUGCCCGGUGCCGGAAGGUUAAUUGAUGGGGUUAGCGGCAACGCGAAGCUCUUGAUCGAAGCCCCGGUAAACGGCGGCCGUAACUAUAACGGUCCUAAGGUAGCGAAAUUCCUUGUCGGGUAAGUUCCGACCUGCACGAAUGGCGUAAUGAUGGCCAGGCUGUCUCCACCCGAGACUCAGUGAAAUUGAACUCGCUGUGAAGAUGCAGUGUACCCGCGGCAAGACGGAAAGACCCCGUGAACCUUUACUAUAGCUUGACACUGAACAUUGAGCCUUGAUGUGUAGGAUAGGUGGGAGGCUUUGAAGUGUGGACGCCAGUCUGCAUGGAGCCGACCUUGAAAUACCACCCUUUAAUGUUUGAUGUUCUAACGUUGGCCCGUAAUCCGGGUUGCGGACAGUGUCUGGUGGGUAGUUUGACUGGGGCGGUCUCCUCCUAAAGAGUAACGGAGGAGCACGAAGGUUGGCUAAUCCUGGUCGGACAUCAGGAGGUUAGUGCAAUGGCAUAAGCCAGCUUGACUGCGAGCGUGACGGCGCGAGCAGGUGCGAAAGCAGGUCAUAGUGAUCCGGUGGUUCUGAAUGGAAGGGCCAUCGCUCAACGGAUAAAAGGUACUCCGGGGAUAACAGGCUGAUACCGCCCAAGAGUUCAUAUCGACGGCGGUGUUUGGCACCUCGAUGUCGGCUCAUCACAUCCUGGGGCUGAAGUAGGUCCCAAGGGUAUGGCUGUUCGCCAUUUAAAGUGGUACGCGAGCUGGGUUUAGAACGUCGUGAGACAGUUCGGUCCCUAUCUGCCGUGGGCGCUGGAGAACUGAGGGGGGCUGCUCCUAGUACGAGAGGACCGGAGUGGACGCAUCACUGGUGUUCGGGUUGUCAUGCCAAUGGCACUGCCCGGUAGCUAAAUGCGGAAGAGAUAAGUGCUGAAAGCAUCUAAGCACGAAACUUGCCCCGAGAUGAGUUCUCCCUGACUCCUUGAGAGUCCUGAAGGAACGUUGAAGACGACGACGUUGAUAGGCCGGGUGUGUAAGCGCAGCGAUGCGUUGAGCUAACCGGUACUAAUGAACCGUGAGGCUUAACCUUACAACGCCGAAG